Molecule: long non-coding RNA, 247 nt
Filed under: Monodelphis domestica (gray short-tailed opossum)
Lineage: Eukaryota; Metazoa; Chordata; Mammalia; Didelphimorphia; Didelphidae
Description: lncRNA (ENSMODG00000038329.1)
Source: RNAcentral
AAGGGGAAGAAGAAGGAAGAAGGAAGAAAGAAGAAGGAAGAAGAAAGAAGAACAAGAACAAGAAGAAGAACAAGAAGAACAAGAACAAGAAGAACAAGAAAGAGGAGGAGGAGGAUACUGGAGGUUAAACUAGUUGGCUCAAUGAUGCUUUUUAAUGAUCAGUUGGAAGGAGAUUCAGAAGACUUCUGGUACUAUGCUGCCAUUUUAGCUCUGUCCCCAAAAGUUAAAGAAAUCGAGGCCCAACAUA